This is a long non-coding RNA of Equus caballus (horse), 4038 nucleotides long. The record is from Ensembl. NCBI's taxonomy places the organism in Eukaryota, Metazoa, Chordata, Mammalia, Perissodactyla, Equidae.
GUUUGUUCCAUUCCUCGGAGCUCUGGGGCUCUGCUGAGGGUCUCCGAACUGGGUGGGCAGGGCUCCAGGCAUCCACGCCCACUCCUGCCCUUCAGAUGUUUUGACUGAUUGAACGAACAUCCAGGUCAGAUUUUAUUUAAAGAAAAUGUAUUUUCAGUGGACAUUUGCAGAGGGCUGACCUGGAGUCAGGGAGGCCUGGGAAGUGCUGGGCCCUGGAGACUGUGGGGUCGGAGGCUCAAAGUCCCGGGUCCUGUGUAGCCUUGAGCAGAGCGGCUAGCCUUUCUGGGCCUCAUCUGUCCUUCUGGGAAGUGGAGUCACAGCUGCCCGACAGGAGCUGAGUGCAGGGCUGGGGGACUGUGGUGCUUGGAGGUGCAGAGGUUUCAGACUUCCCCUGCCCUGGGGCACCUGCUGCUUGGUCGAGCCAGCCUUCCACGGGUUGGAGAGCUUGCCUGUAGCACCUGGCAUCCCUUGUCUAGCACACGCCCAUCACCAAGGUGUGCCCUCACUGAGAGCAGGAGUGGCAGGGGCUCAGUACUGUCGGCCCCAAGCUGUGACUCUGGCGCUAACCCACAGGGGGCGAUCCAGCUCAGAGCAUCCUGCCGUGGGGGGCUUGCUCCCAGCAUCCUGGAGGAAACACUGAGCAGGUGGCACCUCCAGAACCUCCGUUAAGGGCGCCUCACCUCACCAUGGUGGUCCCAGGGUGGGGGAACCCAUGAGGACCUCAGUUGCCAGCCUUAUUGGGGCCCCAGGACACAGCAGACCCAUAGGGGCCCUCCGGGAGGAUGUCCUGGCUUCCCUGGACAUAAAGCUGUCCCAGGACCUACGCCUCAUUGAGGGGCCUCAAGGCCGAGGCCCUGGGCCUGGCCUCUCCUCCCCGCCACAGUGGAGCCCCUGCAGGCCUGACCAUCAGACCCCGGGGCCCACCAUCUCCCAGUUUUCAUUCUAGCAACAAGACAGCCCAGGAGUUUGGGGGUGGGGCAGGGAUGUGUCCCAGUUGGCUGUCCUCGCCAUGGGGCUCUUCUCCAUCCCUCGGGGCGGGAGGGGGCUGUUGGAGUGAGAGGGAAGGAGUCCUGCCCUCCCCUUUGCAAGGAGCCAGAGCUUCACUUGGGAGGCCUGCGAUGUUUAUGCAGUUCCAGGGCCACACUGGGCCAGGGCAGGGAACUGAGGACGGGAGUGGGAGGGGCUUUAGGAAAACCAGACCUACCACCUUCCCUCUGGCCCUCCCAAGAGAUGCAGCUCUCCCUAGUGAGAUGCUCUGGGAGUAGGGAGAGGGACAUGGAGGGGAGGAGAGCUGGCUUCAUGUGUGAGCUUCAUGAAAGCCAGACGGAGAUGGAGAGUCUUGGAGGUCCUCUCCGCCAGGAUUCCAGAUCUUUCCAGAGUGAUCUCAGGGCUUUGCAAAGCAGAAACCAGGCCCAGAUGGAAGCCCACAGGGAGACCUCACCCAGGGCUGUCGGCUCUUCAGAAAUGUCCCUUCCUGUGGCUGCAAGACUGUGGGUGAAUCCUGGGGUCCGGGCUUGGCUGCUGUGAGCCGCUGCCUCCCGGCUGAUAAACAUCGGCCCAGGGAGCUGAGACACCGAGGCCCUGGAGAAGACCAGUGCAGGACCACCAGCAGGGCUGCAGCAGGUGCAGGGCUGGUUGGUGAAGAGGCUCACCCUCUCCUCCGUCCUCAGCCCCAACGCUCCCCAAACCUGUGCAUUAGAGCUGUGCUGGAGUUCUUCACGUCUCUACCAGGCCAGGUGGUCACUGCUAAACUCGCCUUGGAGAGAGGAAGCCUGGAUUAUCUGUCAGGUCCAGGGGGACGAUGCUCCAUUGGGCCCCCAGCUUCAUGGGGCUGCUACCUUGGUCUGGAGACCCUCCGUGUGUGAGGAGUUUGCACCCUUCAGAGUUUCAGCUGGAAAGUGGAUCUAUCGUCUUGGUGCUUCAGAGGAAACUUCUACAAUAUUCAGAUGGACGGGGCUCUCAGCCCCUCGACCACAAGGCUGUUCCAGCCUGAGCAGGUCAGUUCUGGGCAGUCUGGGAGCGGGAGGAGGGGUCCGCAGAACUCUUCCUGUCCCCGCUUUCUGCCUUCGCUUCUCAGGGGUACCCUGCCCUGGAAUGAAUGAGCUCCGCAAAUACUCAUCUCUGGGCAGCUGCCAAGUCUGGCCCCACUCCAGAGGACCGAGUGCUUGCAUCUGUCCCACUUCCCUUGGCAUGAAGGCCCCUGGCUGUCAGGGUGGGGCAGAGCUCCAGAGCCAGCCUUGGUGCUGGGACCCGGCCGAGCGAGGAGCUGCGGUGCCCAGGCCACAUGGCGUUCCCUGGUGAGGAGACGAUGUGAUGGCCACCAACACCCUUGGAACCCGUGUCGGCCCCAGUGCGAGUCAAGUGGACCCCUGCUGUCCUCCCGAGAAGUGUGACCAUUUAGUCUGAGGGGAGGGACAGUGGCAUCCUGAACCCCCACAGUGGCUGAGAAGGCUUCCAGCUGCCCAGCUGCCCUCUCUGCCCAGGAGGAGACGCUAUGCCAAGGCCCAGCUGUGGGAGAGUCUGCGUUUCCCGUGCCAUCCACUUGGAAAGGGCCUUCGUGCAGUCAGGGACUGGUGUGAUGGGGAGAAGGAGCCCAGUUUUCUUCUUGGGCGUUCCAGCCAAAUCAGGCUUGUUGAAGCCCUUCCCUGACUGCCAAGAGGGAGACCACUGCCUCCAGCCGGGAGUGCAGGAUGCCCAUUCUCACGUGGAUUCUCGUCCAUUGGAAUCUGGAGACAGGCCUGGACUUGGAGCCUUCUGCUCGUUGUCUGACCACAGGCAAGCCACUCCACCUCUCUGAGCUUUGGUCUUCUCGUUUGCACAAUAGGCAACUGGAAGUGAAAGUAUGGUGAGUAGUUUCUAGACACCGGGCACUGCGUCAGGGGCUCUCGCACUUGUGUUCGUCAUAAGCUCCGUGGCUGCCACAUAGGUGGUGACUAUGCCGGGGACCACUGUCUGGCCCCAGAGGUGACUUAUUCUCUUUAUUCUGCUGCGAAACCCUCAGCCCCUCAACUGCAGAGAUUGCUCCUUCCAUUCUUGGCGCUCAGCCCUGUGACUCCCACAUGGAAGGUUCUUGACUAGAUGUUGCAUGGAUGCAUACUAAGUGGGAGGGAGCUCACUUCUGGCUUUCACACAUCAAAUUAAAUUUUCAUGAACUCAUGAAUCAACAAGAGAAACUAAGCAGCAUUUUACUGAACACCUACUAUGUCUGAUGAUUUACAUGGGUUUUCUUAUUUAGUCUUCACAGUAAUCCUGUGAAGUACUCUCUCUUCCGUUUUGCAAGUUAGGAAAUUGUGGAAGCUCACGCCUUGUCAAGAUUAGUCAACAUGUAAGAGGGAGGAGCAGGAUUUGAAUUGGAGUCUGAUCCCUCGGACUGUGCUCUUUGCAUUCCACCAGGCUGCCAACAGGGAGACGCCUGCUAGACCGUGGUUGUUACAAAGCAGAAUCGUGGUCUAGCAGGGGGAAUAAUGCAUCCCAACCAGCGUCAGAAGGAGGCGCCAGCAGAAGGCCCGCUGCUCCCACGGGCUAAGGGGAUGAAUGACGGAGGCCAGGACCUUCCCAGGGCGUGCCUGCAGGCUUCUCCACCUAGACUGUCGUGGCCCAACCUCAGGCCAGCCCAGGCAACAGCGAGGCAAGGCCCGGCCUGGGUCUGCCGCCUCUCAGCCCAUUGGCCCUGUGGAUGCUGCGUUGCAAAACCACACUGUUUUGUUCUGACUUCCUCUUGGGUUCCCAGGAAGUUUAUUUACAGAAGUAAAAUUGCCUCGUAACGUAAAAAAAUAUUUUUUUUGCUGUGGUAAAAUAUACACAACACAAAAUUUACCAUUUUAACCACUUAAUGUAAAAAUGUACAACUGCAUGGUGUUAGUUCACAAUGUGCACAUUCCAGAUGUUGCAUAGCCAUCACCGCCAUUUGUCCCCAGAACUCCCUAACGGAAGCUCUGUACCUAUUAAACACUAAUUCCCCCCCUCCCUCUAGACUCUGCUGAUCUCUUGUCCGUGUUUUGUCUCUAUGAAUUUGCCUACUCUAGGUAUGUGUGUAAG